UGGCUCAGUUGGUAGAGUGUAGCACUUGCAAUGCCAAGGAUUGUGGGUUCAAUUCCUGC
RNAcentral lists this transfer RNA (59 nucleotides) under Salmo salar (Atlantic salmon). It matches the Rfam family "tRNA", at positions 8 to 63 of the family's 71-position model. Rfam says of the family: Transfer RNA (tRNA) molecules are approximately 80 nucleotides in length. Their secondary structure includes four short double-helical elements and three loops (D, anti-codon, and T loops). The record is from Rfam by way of RNAcentral. Lineage: Eukaryota; Metazoa; Chordata; Actinopteri; Salmoniformes; Salmonidae.